This 275-nucleotide ribosomal RNA is filed under the name uncultured prokaryote. RNAcentral's name for it is "partial 16S ribosomal RNA". It matches the Rfam family "Bacterial small subunit ribosomal RNA", at positions 524 to 800 of the family's 1533-position model. The record is from RNAcentral.
UACGUAGGGGCUAGCGUUAUCCGGAAUUACUGGGCGUAAAGGGUGCGUAGGUGGUUUCUUAAGUCAGAGGUGAAAGGCUACGGCUCAACUGUAGUAAGCCUUUGAAACUGGGAAACUUGAGUGCAGGAGAGGAGAGUGGAAUUCCUAGUGUAGCGGUGAAAUGCGUAGAUAUCACGAGGAACUCCGAUUGCGCAGGCAGCUUACUAAACCAUAACAGACGCUCAGGCACGAAGGCGUGGGGAUCAAACAGGAUUAGAUACCCGGGUAGUCCCUGA